Molecule: long non-coding RNA, 719 nt
Organism: Nicotiana tabacum (common tobacco)
Lineage: Eukaryota; Viridiplantae; Streptophyta; Magnoliopsida; Solanales; Solanaceae
Source: RefSeq, a predicted model, not a curated record
UGUAAUUAGAGAGCUCUCGUUCAUUUUGUACAGAUGGGUUGACUAUCGAAUAAAAAGAGAAAAUUGUUUUCCCUUUUGUUCUCUCUCAGAGACUGUUAGAACUAGGGUUUGCAUUUACAUUUUACCUUAAAUCUGCUUCGAUCCUUCAUGUUUUCAUGGUAUUAGAGCCAUCAAUGGAUUCCUUAGAUCACGGCCUUUCCAGCGAUCCUACCCUUUACAUUUGAUUUUGCUGAUUCUGUUUUCUCCGACGAGGCUGUGACAAUGUGUUUUUGGUGUUUUUUGGUGGUUUCUGUUCAUUCUAAGGUGUUUCUGCUUUGUCCUCUGAUUUUGAUGCAGAAGGCUCUUGCUUUUCAAGUUUUUGAAGAAGUUUGAUUCGAGGUAUUCGGAGGCCGACUCGCGAGGCAAGGGCUUGUUGGAGUAGAGAUUUUCUCGGUUUGAGAUCCAGACAUUUCCGGGCACGGUGGUUGUUGAUCGUGGAGUUUUUACCUAUUCGGAGAUCAUCGAGGUAGCUGUUAUGGCAUUCACAGACCUUGACCUUCCUCCCCGUAUCUUUCAGUUUUAUUUAUUCAGUUCUACUUUUUAGACAGUGUAUCAGACUAUGUCAUUAUAUAGAGGCUCAUGUACUUAGUGACACCCUCGUUUUGGAAAAUUUCUGUAUUUAGUUAUGACAUUUUAUCUAGUUUUAUGAGAGUUUACUUAUGUAAACUUGUUUUAGAAUA